This is a long non-coding RNA of Venturia canescens, 448 nucleotides long. RefSeq lists it as uncharacterized. The transcript is spliced from 3 exons. The record is from RefSeq and is a predicted model, not a curated record. NCBI's taxonomy places the organism in Eukaryota, Metazoa, Arthropoda, Insecta, Hymenoptera, Ichneumonidae.
CAGAAAACGAAGAUUGAUGUUUUAUACCUAAAGUCUUCUACUUUCGAAAUCUGUUUGAUAAAUUGAAAUCGGAUUACCUCCAGAACAUCGAGCCUCACUGUGAAAUAUGAUUUUGCAUAGAGGAAGUAUCUAUCAAUACCAACCAUCGUGCAAAAAAGAAAGAUCCAGCUUCAAGAAUAGUAACGGUUGAGGCCAUUCGACUUCUGGAAGCAAAGGCGUGCCACGCAAGUGUGUCAUCGCAAAAUCUGUUAAAAAUUUUAAGCUGCUGUGCGCUUAGUAAUAGGCCGCAGUGCGCCAAAAUAAAAAGCUGCUGUGUGCAGACUUAUAGGCCGCAGUGCGCCAAAAUAAACAGAUUUUGUACUCCUGAUAUUAAUCAACGUUGUUAUACAACGUCUAAAGUUUCAUACUUGAAAACGAUUUACGAUUUUCUGAUAACAGGGAUCUUCAA